AACGUAGGAGACAAACGUUAUCCGGAGUUACUGGGCGUAAAGGGCGUGUAGGUGGUAGAGUAAGUCUGGCGUGAAAUUUUUCGGCUUAACCGGGAAAGGUCGUCGGAUACUGCUCAACUAGAGGAUGGUAGAGGCGUGUGGAAUUCCGGGUGUAGUGGUGAAAUGCGUAGAGAUCCGGAGGAACACCAGUGGCGAAGGCGACACGCUGGGCCAUACCUGACACUGAUGCGCGACAGCAUGGGGAGCAAACAGG
This 253-nucleotide ribosomal RNA is filed under the name uncultured bacterium. RNAcentral's name for it is "partial 16S ribosomal RNA". It matches the Rfam family "Bacterial small subunit ribosomal RNA", at positions 524 to 776 of the family's 1533-position model. The record is from RNAcentral.